This is a long non-coding RNA of Gallus gallus (chicken), 680 nucleotides long. NCBI's taxonomy places the organism in Eukaryota, Metazoa, Chordata, Aves, Galliformes, Phasianidae. The record is from Ensembl.
CUGCACAGUCCUCUCCUUCCCCUCGCCCUCCCAAAUGCAGCACAGCAGUCAGGGCAGAAGCAGCCUGAUGGGAUCCAGAGGCUUCCCGCGAGCGGGAUCAGCCCUGAGACAGGACAGCGCCCAGCACAAGUGAUCCUGCGGGAUUUGCAGGAAGCCCAUGGCAUGCCCAGUAGAGACACGUGGGGUGAUUUCCUGCUUUCUGUGGAGGGGAAGAGUGGGAGGAAGUCUUGGCUGAGGCGGACAGGGAGAGGAGGAACCCGGCAGCCAACCCACCUUCUGCACCAGGAGGUGCUCUUGUACGUAGGCGGCCACCGCAUCCCAGACGGCAACUCGCUCUGGAGGGCAAAGGAAAAGCGGGUCACACUCUGCACCUGCCGCUUCCCAGCAGCCCUCCCGCUGCCAGGCGGGAGUGAGGUGGCAGAUGGAAAGUGUCGUCUGCGUGCCAGGAUUGGCUGCAGCAGCGCUCCUGUGGUGGCUGUGGAGCCGUGUACCUUCGGUGUCGGUGCAGGUGGGUAUGGAGGCACGCCUCGCUGCGGGGCCAUCCUCGCAGAAGCUCAUCCUGUUCCGCCUCGUGCCAGCGGGUUGCUCCUUGUUGGCGCCAGCCAUGCCGGAGCUCAUCCCUUCAGGUGCGUCUGCUCUCUACCAGAUGCUCCUUCAGGAUGCAGGACCCACCAGCGUGC